GAUAAACGCUAGCGGCAGGCUUAACACAUGCAAGUCGAGGGGCAGCAUAGAUUGUAGCAAUACAAUUGGUGGCGACCGGCGCACGGGUGCGUAACGCGUAUGCAACCUACCCGUCACAGGGGGAUAAUCCGGAGAAAUCUGGUCUAAUACCCCAUAACAUAUGGAUCGGCAUCGGUUCAUGUUGAAAUUUUCGGAGGUGACGGAUGGGCAUGCGUAGCAUUAGCUUGUUGGUGAGGUAACGGCUCACCAAGGCGACGAUGCUUAGGGGGACUGAGAGGUCUUCCCCCCACACUGGUACUGAGACACGGACCGGACUCCUACGGGAGGCAGCAGUGAGGAAUAUUGGUCAAUGGGCGCAAGUCUGAACCAGCCGUGCCGCGUGCAGGAUGACGGCUCUAUGAGUUGUAAACUGCUUUUGUACGAGGGUAAAGUGGGAUACGUGUAACCUUUUGAAAGUAUCGUACGAAUAAGGAUCGGCUAACACCGUGCCAGCCGCCGCAGUAA
This 504-nucleotide ribosomal RNA is filed under the name uncultured bacterium. RNAcentral's name for it is "partial 16S ribosomal RNA". It matches the Rfam family "Bacterial small subunit ribosomal RNA", at positions 28 to 523 of the family's 1533-position model. The record is from RNAcentral.